RNAcentral lists this ribosomal RNA (429 nucleotides) under Bacteroidota bacterium. RNAcentral's name for it is "Bacteroidetes bacterium partial 16S ribosomal RNA". It matches the Rfam family "Bacterial small subunit ribosomal RNA", at positions 355 to 776 of the family's 1533-position model. The record is from RNAcentral. Lineage: Bacteria; Pseudomonadati; Bacteroidota.
UAGGGAAUCUUCGGCAAUGGGGGGAACCCUGACCGAGCAACGCCGCGUGAGUGAAGAAGGUUUUCGGAUCGUAAAGCUCUGUUGUUAAGGAAGAACGAGUGUGAGAAUGGAAAGUUCAUGCUGUGACGGUACUUAACCAGAAAGGGACGGCUAACUACGUGCCAGCAGCCGCGGUAAUACGUAGGUCCCGAGCGUUGUCCGGAUUUAUUGGGCGUAAAGCGAGCGCAGGCGGUUAGAUAAGUCUGAAGUGAAAGGCAGUGGCUCAACCAUUGUAGGCUUUGGAAACUGUUUAACUUGAGUGCAGAAGGGGAGAGUGGAAUUCCAUGUGUAGCGGUGAAAUGCGUAGAUAUAUGGAGGAACACCAGUGGCGAAGGCGACUCUCUGGUCUGUAACUGACGCUGAGGCUCGAAAGCGUGGGUAGCAAACAGG